This is a long non-coding RNA of Pipra filicauda (Wire-tailed manakin), 374 nucleotides long. RefSeq lists it as uncharacterized. The transcript has 4 exons. NCBI's taxonomy places the organism in Eukaryota, Metazoa, Chordata, Aves, Passeriformes, Pipridae. The record is from RefSeq and is a predicted model, not a curated record.
CUGCCCAGCCCCUGGGGCCGUGUCCAGUGGUGGCACUGCCAGCCCUGCAGGGGAAGUGGGAAGGGCCUUUGCAGGUCUGUUUGAUCACAUUUAUAGCAGUGGGAUGGAGCCUGGAAAGUGCAGAGAGCUGAGCCAAGGGAUUGAAAGGGACCAAGCAAGGGAGGUGAAGAAAGAAGGAAGAAGGAACUGAGGCAUCAGCCAAGCAGCAGCAAGUUCCUGUGUAAGCAGUGGGAUGUUCCCUAGAAACUGCAUGGAGCUGAGCCAAGGAAGUUAAAGGGACUGAGCAAGCAAAGUCAAGAAAGAAAGAAGAAGGGAACUGAGGCAGCAGCCAAGCAGCACCAAAUUCCUCCACAACCAAGGAAUAACUCCUGUCA